GGAGUAGUAUCGAAGUGGUCAUAACGAGCACGACUGGAAAUCGUGUAGUCGCCAAAAGCGGCUCGAGAGUUCGAAUCUCUCCUACUCCGCCA
This 92-nucleotide transfer RNA is filed under the name Oscillospiraceae bacterium. Its description in RNAcentral is "tRNA-Ser". It matches the Rfam family "tRNA". From Rfam's summary of the family: Transfer RNA (tRNA) molecules are approximately 80 nucleotides in length. Lineage: Bacteria; Bacillati; Bacillota; Clostridia; Eubacteriales; Oscillospiraceae. The record is from RNAcentral.